This 489-nucleotide ribosomal RNA is filed under the name uncultured bacterium. RNAcentral describes it as "partial 16S ribosomal RNA". It matches the Rfam family "Bacterial small subunit ribosomal RNA", at positions 28 to 507 of the family's 1533-position model. The record is from RNAcentral.
GACGAACGCUGGCGGCGUGCUUAACACAUGCAAGUCGAACGGAAAGGCCCCCACCUUGGUGGGGGUGCUCGAGUGGCGAACGGGUGAGUAACACGUGGGUGACCUGCCCUGUACUUCGGGAUAAGCUCGGGAAACUGGGUCUAAUACCGGAUAGGACCAUGGUUUAGUGUCUCAUGGUGGAAAAAUUAUUGUUUUGGUGCAGGAUGAGCUCGCGGCCUAUCAGCUUGUUGGUGGGGUAAUGGCCUACCAAGGCGUCGACGGGUAGCCGGCCUGAGAGGGUGGCCGGCCACAUUGGGAGUGAGGUACGGCCCAGACUCGUACGGGAGGCAGCGGUGGGGAAUCUUGCACAAUGGGCGCAAGCCUGAUGCAGCGCCGCCGCGUGGGGGAUGACGGCCUUCGGGUUGUAAACUCCUUUCGUUAGGGACGAAGCCACACCUUUUUUGGGUGUGGUGACGGUACCUUUGUUAAGAAGCACCGGCUAACUACGUG